RNAcentral lists this ribosomal RNA (446 nucleotides) under Streptococcus agalactiae. Its description in RNAcentral is "bacterial SSU rRNA". It matches the Rfam family "Bacterial small subunit ribosomal RNA", at positions 1 to 438 of the family's 1533-position model. Lineage: Bacteria; Bacillati; Bacillota; Bacilli; Lactobacillales; Streptococcaceae. The record is from RNAcentral.
UUAAUGAGAGUUUGAUCCUGGCUCAGGACGAACGCUGGCGGCGUGCCUAAUACAUGCAAGUAGAACGCUGAUGUUUGGUGUUUACACUAGACUGAUGAGUUGCGAACGGGUGAGUAACGCGUAGGUAACCUGCCUCAUAGCGGGGGAUAACUAUUGGAAACGAUAGCUAAUACCGCAUAAGAGUAAUUAACACAUGUUAGUUAUUUAAAAGGAGCAAUUGCUUCACUGUGAGAUGGACCUGCGUUGUAUUAGCUAGUUGGUGAGGUAAAGGCUCACCAAGGCGACGAUACAUAGCCGACCUGAGAGGGUGAUCGGCCACACUGGGACUGAGACACGGCCCAGACUCCUACGGGAGGCAGCAGUAGGGAAUCUUCGGCAAUGGACGGAAGUCUGACCGAGCAACGCCGCGUGAGUGAAGAAGGUUUUCGGAUCGUAAAGCUCUGUUG